GAUGAACGCUGGCGGCGUGCCUAAUACAUGCAAGUCGAGCGAACGGACGCGACGCUUGCUUCUCUGACGUUAGCGGCGCACGGGUGUGUCACACGUGGAUACCCUCCCUAUCAGUCUGAUAUCAUCUCGGGAAACCGGCGCUAACACCGGGUAAUCUUUUGAACCGCAUGGUUCAAUAGUGAAAGACGGCCUUGCUGUCACUUCUAGCUGCAUCUCCGCUGCAUUGGCUGGUUGGUAAGUUAACGGCCUACCACGGCAACGAUGCCUAGCCGACGUGAGAGGGUGAUCGCCCACAGUGGAACUGAGACGCGGUCCAGACUCCUACGGGAGGGAGCAGUAGGGAAUGGUCGGCAAUGGGCGAAAGCCUGGCGGAGCAACGGGGCGUGAGUGAUGAAGGUCCUCGGAUCGUAAAACUGUGUUAUUAGGGAUGAACAGAUGUGUAAGUAACUGUGCACAUCUUGACGGUACCGAAUCAGAAAGCAACGGCUAACUACGUG
Molecule: ribosomal RNA, 497 nt
Filed under: uncultured bacterium
Lineage: Bacteria
Description: partial 16S ribosomal RNA
Rfam family: Bacterial small subunit ribosomal RNA
Source: RNAcentral